GGGGUCGUGGUGGAUCCGGCCAUCGCCGAGUGCCUCUACGUGGCGCUGACCACGGACACUGGUUCGUUCCGGUUCGAGGCGACCACCCC
This 89-nucleotide transfer RNA is filed under the name Micromonospora parathelypteridis. Its description in RNAcentral is "tRNA-Val". The record is from RNAcentral. Lineage: Bacteria; Bacillati; Actinomycetota; Actinomycetes; Micromonosporales; Micromonosporaceae.